Molecule: ribosomal RNA, 812 nt
Filed under: uncultured bacterium
Lineage: Bacteria
Description: bacterial SSU rRNA
Rfam family: Bacterial small subunit ribosomal RNA
Source: RNAcentral
GUCGAACGGGAGGAAAAGAGAAGCUUGCUUUUUUUGAAUCUAGUCGCUAACGGGUGAGUAACACGUAAACAACCUGCCUUCAGGAUGGGGACAACAGACGGAAACGACUGCUAAUACCGAAUGUGUUCCGGAGACCGCAUGAUUUCCGGAAGAAAGGAUGGCCUCUAUUUAUAAGCUAUCGCCUGAAGAGGGGUUUGCGUCUGAUUAGGCAGUUGGUGAGGUAACGGCCCACCAAACCUACGAUCAGUAGCCGGUCUGAGAGGAUGAACGGCCACACUGGAACUGAGACACGGUCCAGACUCCUACGGGAGGCAGCAGUGGGGAAUCUUCCGCAAUGGACGAAAGUCUGACGGAGCAACGCCGCGUGAGUGAUGACGGCCUUCGGGUUGUAAAGCUCUGUGAUCGGGGACGAAUGGCUGGUAUGCUAAUACCAUAUCAGAGUGACGGUACCCGAAUAGCAAGCCACGGCUAACUACGUGCCAGCAGCCGCGGUAAUACGUAGGUGGCAAGCGUUGUCCGGAAUUAUUGGGCGUAAAGCGCGCGCAGGCGGCUUCUUAAGUCCAUCUUAAAAGUGCGGGGCUUAACCCCGUGAUGGGAUGGAAACUGGGAGGCUGGAGUAUCGGAGAGGAAAGUGGAAUUCCUAGUGUAGCGGUGAAAUGCGUAGAGAUUAGGAAGAACACCGGUGGCGAAAGCGACUUUCUGGACGACAACUGACGCUGAGGCGCGAAAGCGUGGGGAGCAAACAGGAUUAGAUACCCUGGUAGUCCACGCCGUANACGAUGAAUACUAGGUGUAGGAGGUANCGACCCCUU